Molecule: ribosomal RNA, 497 nt
Filed under: uncultured bacterium
Lineage: Bacteria
Description: partial 16S ribosomal RNA
Rfam family: Bacterial small subunit ribosomal RNA
Source: RNAcentral
GAUGAACGCUGGCGGCGUGCCUAAUACAUGCAAGUCGAGCGAACAGACGAUGUGCUUGCUCCUCUGUCGUUUGCGGCGGACGUGUGAGUAACACGUGUAUAACCUACCUAUAAUACUGGUAUCACUUCGGGAAACCGGAUCUAAUACCGGAUAAUAUAUUGAACCGCAUUGUUCAAUAGUUAAAUACGGUUUUGCUGUCUCUUAUAGAUGCUUCCGCGCCGCAUUAGAUAGUUGUUAAGGUAACGGGUUACCAAGGCAACGAUUCGUAGCCGACGUGAGAGGGGGAUCGGCGACACGGGAAGUGAGACAGGGUAAAGAGGACUAAGGGAGGGAGCAGAAGGGAAUGGUACGCAAUGGGAGAAAGGAUGACGGAGCAAGGCCGAGUGAGAGAUGAAGGUGUGCGGAUCGUAAAAAUCUGUUAUUAGGGAAGAAAAAAUGUGGAAGUAAAUAUGCACGUAGUGACGGUACCUAAUCAGAAAGCAACGGCUAACUACGUG